Molecule: long non-coding RNA, 241 nt
Organism: Solea solea (common sole)
Lineage: Eukaryota; Metazoa; Chordata; Actinopteri; Pleuronectiformes; Soleidae
Exons: 3
Source: RefSeq, a predicted model, not a curated record
UGACUGAGAAGGAAGCAACUAACUCAGAAUCCAAAGGACCAUGUCAACAAACAAGAGUCUUCACCAUUAGAGGGCACCACAAACAUGUGGACAUGAGAGGCUGAGGAACAUGGAGCAGUUGAGCGAAACCAGAGGCUUCCAUCAGAGAUGAGGGACUGCAGCAUGAGCAACUGACCCUGGACAAGGACUACUUAUUGGACGGAGGGCGAGCAUUCCAGCCAGCAAUCAAUAUCAGUAUCUC